UACAGAGGUCUCAAGCGUUGUUCGGAUUCAUUGGGCGUAAAGGGUGUGUAGGUGGCGCCGUAAGUCGGGUGUGAAAUUUCGGAGCUUAACUCCGAAACUGCAUUCGAUACUGCGGUGCUUGAGGACUGGAGAGGAGACUGGAAUUCAUGGUGUAGCAGUGAAAUGCGUAGAGAUCAUGAGGAACACCAGUGGCGAAGGCGAGUCCCUGGACAACUCCUGACACUGAGGCACGAAAGCUAGGGGAGCAAACAGG
Molecule: ribosomal RNA, 253 nt
Filed under: uncultured bacterium
Lineage: Bacteria
Description: partial 16S ribosomal RNA
Rfam family: Bacterial small subunit ribosomal RNA
Source: RNAcentral